This 253-nucleotide ribosomal RNA is filed under the name uncultured bacterium. RNAcentral describes it as "partial 16S ribosomal RNA". It matches the Rfam family "Bacterial small subunit ribosomal RNA", at positions 524 to 776 of the family's 1533-position model. The record is from RNAcentral.
UACAGAGGGUGCGAGCGUUAAUCGGAAUUACUGGGCGUAAAGCGCACGUAGGCGGCGACGUAAGUCGGGUGUGAAAUCCCACGGCUCAACCGUGGAAGUGCACUCGAAACUGCGCAGCUAGAGUCUCGGAGAGGAAGGCGGAAUGCUUGGUGUAGAGGUGAAAUUCGUAGAUAUCAAGCGGAACACCGGUGGCGAAGGCGGCCUUCUGGACGAUGACUGACGCUGAAGUGCGAAAGCGUGGGGAGCAAACAGG